UACGAAGGGUGCAAACGUUGCUCGGAAUUAUUGGGCGUAAAGCGCACGUAGGCGGCUUUGCAAGUCCCAUGUGAAAUCCCACGGCUUAACCGUGGAAGUGCAUGGGAAACUGCAGAGCUUGAGUACUUAAGAGGAUCGCGGAAUUCCCGGUGUAGAGGUGAAAUGCGUAGAUAUCGGGAGGAACACCAGUGGCGAAGGCGACUACCUGGCCUGUUUCUUGACGCUGAGGCGCGAAAGCUAGGGGAGCAAACGGG
This 254-nucleotide ribosomal RNA is filed under the name uncultured bacterium. RNAcentral describes it as "partial 16S ribosomal RNA". It matches the Rfam family "Bacterial small subunit ribosomal RNA", at positions 524 to 776 of the family's 1533-position model. The record is from RNAcentral.